This 73-nucleotide transfer RNA is filed under the name Bacteriophage sp. RNAcentral describes it as "tRNA-Trp". It matches the Rfam family "tRNA". Rfam says of the family: Transfer RNA (tRNA) molecules are approximately 80 nucleotides in length. Their secondary structure includes four short double-helical elements and three loops (D, anti-codon, and T loops). Further hydrogen bonds mediate the characteristic L-shaped molecular structure. tRNAs have two regions of fundamental functional importance: the anti-codon, which is responsible for specific mRNA codon recognition, and the 3' end, to which the tRNAs corresponding amino acid is attached (by aminoacyl-tRNA synthetases). tRNAs cope with the degeneracy of the genetic code in two manners: having more than one tRNA (with a specific anti-codon) for a particular amino acid; and 'wobble' base-pairing, i.e. permitting non-standard base-pairing at the 3rd anti-codon position. RNAcentral also lists the same sequence under 1 other name. The record is from RNAcentral.
ACUCCCGUAGCUCAACUGGUAGAGCGUCGGUCUCCAAAACCGAAGGUUGCAGGUUCGAGGCCUGCCCGGAGUG